AGAUUGAGGAACUGGAGAGUGUUUUUAACGUAAGGAGUGUCGCACAAGAUCAGGCGGCAGAUUGAGGAACUGGAGAGUGUUUUUAACCUAAGGAAGUGAAGAUGAAAGAAAUUGUAACAAACCAAGUUGGUGAUUUUGCAAACUUCGUAGGCUCUCACUUCUGGAACUUUCAGGAUGAGUUGCUUGGUUUGGCUUCGGAUCCUCAUUCUGAUUCUGUCUUCAAGAAUCCGGAUCUUAACAUGGAUGUGCUUUAUCGUACUGGUGAGGGACAGCAGGGUCAUUAACAAUUCAGGCCAUAAUUGUGCAUACUGGCCCUGUUUCAAUUACAAAUGGUAGCUCCCCAGGGAAGCCCGCUUAGCAAUCUGUUAUCUUUCCAACUUGGUCAAACUAUGAAAUUGUUUCCAAGUAUUCACAGAAGGAUUGGCUCUCAAGCUAUGAAACAUUGACAAGCUAUGUGUCGUGUUGCAGACAAUUUUAGAACUAGUGCACGGGAAAAAGGAUUCCAACUGCGGAUAAAAUGAUUCCAAAGAAGCUUCUUGUAGAUUCUUCAACUGAGGGACUCAGUAAUUCCAAUGUGGUUCCUCCUGUGGGUGCAAACCCUAAUCUGAUGUAACACCAUGUGUUUCAUCUAUUUAAUAUAAACCAGGUAGUGUUAAAGUAGGUGAUAUGCAUAAUGAGUACCUGACUACUGCUUAGGAUGUUCCUUAUGCUAAUGGUGGCUAUAAUGGGUACUACUAUCCAGGUUAGUUGAUGUUGGUCAAAGAGCCUAUGCUGCUUCCCUACCCAUUUCAAUUGAUUGUAUAUGUUUAUGUUGUCUAGUAGAUAUCUUAAUGUGCUUAACAUGAUGAGGAUAUCUAAUUGUAUUGAACGUAUAAUUCAAAUAAUCAAUUUUCUUUGGUUCUGCUUGGAAGGGAAUUAUAAAUCCAUUUGUAGAGCAGGAUAUAUUCGAAGUUUCGGAAGUCAUCACCCACAACCUCAUGUUAGUCUUCUUACUGUUAUUGUCGAUUUAAACUUUGAAAA
Molecule: RNA transcript, 1020 nt
Organism: Gastrolobium bilobum
Lineage: Eukaryota; Viridiplantae; Streptophyta; Magnoliopsida; Fabales; Fabaceae
Exons: 8
Source: RefSeq, a predicted model, not a curated record